RNAcentral lists this ribosomal RNA (254 nucleotides) under uncultured bacterium. RNAcentral's name for it is "partial 16S ribosomal RNA". It matches the Rfam family "Bacterial small subunit ribosomal RNA", at positions 524 to 776 of the family's 1533-position model. The record is from RNAcentral.
UACGUAGGGGGCGAGCGUUGUCCGGAUUUAUUGGGCGUAAAGAGCUCGUAGGCGGUUCGAUAAGUCGGACGUGAAAUCUCCACGCUCAACGUGGAGGGGCCGUUCGAUACUGUCGUGACUCGAGUCCGGUAGGGGAGUGUGGAAUUCCCGGUGUAGCGGUGAAAUGCGUAGAUAUCAGAAGGAACAUCAGUGGCGAAGGCGGCUUCCUGGACCAAUACUGACGAUCAGGUGCGAAAGCGUGGGGAGCAAACAGG